Molecule: ribosomal RNA, 364 nt
Filed under: uncultured bacterium
Lineage: Bacteria
Description: partial 16S ribosomal RNA
Rfam family: Bacterial small subunit ribosomal RNA
Source: RNAcentral
UGGGGAAUAUUGGACAAUGGGCGAAAGCCUGAUCCAGCCAUGCCGCGUGUGUGAAGAAGGUCUUCGGAUUGUAAAGCACUUUAAGUUGGGAGGAAGGGCAUUAACCUAAUACGUUAGUGUUUUGACGUUACCGACAGAAUAAGCACCGGCUAACUCUGUGCCAGCAGCCGCGGUAAUACAGAGGGUGCAAGCGUUAAUCGGAAUUACUGGGCGUAAAGCGCGCGUAGGUGGUCUGUUAAGUUGGAUGUGAAAUCCCCGGGCUCAACCUGGGAACUGCAUUCAAAACUGACUGACUAGAGUAUGGUAGAGGGUGGUGGAAUUUCCUGUGUAGCGGUGAAAUGCGUAGAUAUAGGAAGGAACACCA